Molecule: ribosomal RNA, 468 nt
Filed under: uncultured bacterium
Lineage: Bacteria
Description: partial 16S ribosomal RNA
Rfam family: Bacterial small subunit ribosomal RNA
Source: RNAcentral
GACGAACGCUGGCGGCGUGCUUAACACAUGCAAGUCGAACGGAAACGUCCUGCCUUUUUGGGGUGCUCGAGUUGCGAACUGGUGACUAACCCGUGAGUACCCUGCCCCUGACUUUGGGAUAACCUCAUGAAACUGGGGCUAAUACCGGAUAGGAGCUCCCGCUGCAUGGUGGGGGUGGGAUAGUUUCGGCGGUUGGGGAUGGACUCGCGGCUCAUCAGCUUGUUGGGGGGGUAGUGGCUUACCAAGGCUUGGACGGGUAGCCGGCCUGGGAGGGUGACCGGCCACAUUGGGACGGAGAUGCGGCACAGACUCCAACGGGAGGGAGCGGUGGGGUAUAUUGCACAAUGGGAGGAAGGCUGAUGCAGCAACGCCGCGUGGGGGAUGAGGGCAAGCGGGUUGUAAUCCGCUUUCGCCUGUGACGAAGCGUGAGUGACGGUAAUGGGUGAAGAAGCACCGGCUAACUACGUG